This 3474-nucleotide ribosomal RNA is filed under the name Triticum aestivum (bread wheat). RNAcentral describes it as "partial small subunit ribosomal RNA". The record is from RNAcentral. Lineage: Eukaryota; Viridiplantae; Streptophyta; Magnoliopsida; Poales; Poaceae.
AUGCCCCCUGCUACGUCCGCUCCCGAUGCCCCGGUGGCCGAAGGGGACGAGGAGGCGCCGCCGGUGCCGACUUACCGGUCACUGGCAGCGCCGGUCAGCAAUCCGGUCGACAAGUUCGCGCUCCUCCCUGCCUUCCUCAAGGUUAGAGGCCUUGUGAAGGAGCACAUUGACUCUUUUAACUACUUCAUCACCAAAGGAAUCAAGAAUAUUGUCAGGGCAAACAACCGAAUCGAAGCACGCAGUGAUCCAGAUAUUUAUCUUGAGUACAAAAAUAUAUACAUCGGCGAGCCCUCGGUGCAAGUAGAUUUUAGAGUUGAGACUAUCACACCACACUUUUGCCGCCUUACUGAUCGCACAUAUUCUGCUCCUGUGAUUGUUGAUGUUGAGUACACUGUAGGAAAGACACAUGCCAAACAUAGGAAGCCAAAUUUUACCAUUGGGUACAUGCCUAUUAUGCUUAGAAGUUAUGCUUGUGUUCUGAACGGGAAGGACGAAGCUGAACUAGCAAGAUAUGGUGAGUGCCCUCUUGAUCCUGGUGGUUACUUCAUUGUGAAAGGAACCGAGAAGGUCAUCCUAAUACAAGAACAGCUAUCAAAGAAUCGUAUUAUUAUCGACACUGAUAAUAAAGGAAGGGUAACUGCAUCUGUUACUAGCAGCACACAUGAAGUAAAAAGCAAGACAGUGAUUUGCAUGGACAAAGAGAAAAUUAAUCUACAUCUGAAUCAGUUCACUAAGCCGAUUCCUAUAAUUGUGGUUAUGAAAGCUAUGGGAAUUGAAACUGACCAAGAGGUUGUACAAAUGGUUGGAAGAGAUCCAAGAUAUGGUGACCUCCUAUAUUUGUCUAUUCAGGAAUGUGCCACAGAGAGAAUAUAUACACAACAGCAAGCUUUGCAGUACAUGGAUGACAAGGUGACAUAUGCUGGUGCAGGAAAUAUUAAGGACGGUCGGUCAAAAUUAAUCCUCCGUGAUGUUUUUGUUGCGCAUGUACCGGUUAACAAUGGGAACUUUCAACCAAAGUGCAUAUACACUGCUGUAAUGUUAAGGCGAAUGUUGGAUGCGAUCUUGAAUUCUGAUACCUUCGAUGACAAGGAUUAUGUGGGAAACAAGAGGCUUGAGCUGUCUGGUCAAUUAGUAUCCCUGCUUUUUGAGGAUUUGUUCAAAACGAUGAAUACCUAUGCUGUAGACCGUAUGAACAAAAACAGUGACAUGGCCCGUUCCAGUCCUUUGGAUUUUAGCCAGUUGAUAAUGCAGCAGGAUGUAAUAACCUCUGGUUUGGAGAGAGCUAUUUCCACGGGAAAUUGGGACAUUAAACGAUUUAAGAUGCAUAGAAAGGGUGUUUCACAGGUUCUGUCUAGGUUAUCCUAUAUGGCGUCUUUAGGCUAUAUGACACGCAUAACACCACAGUUUGAGAAGACCCGGAAAACAAGUGGUCCACGUGCUUUGCAGCCCAGUCAGUGGGGUAUGCUUUGUCCUUGUGAUACACCGGAAGGGGAAGCUUGUGGAUUGACGAAAAAUCUAGCUUUAAUGACUCAUGUUACAACAGAUCAAGAGGAGGGCCCACUGAGGAAUCUGUGUUUUAGCCUAGGUGUGGAAGAUUUGUCACUUCUGUCCGGAGAAGAAAUCCAUGCACCGGGUUCGUUUCUGGUCAUGUUCAAUGGAUUAAUACUAGGGAAGCACAGGCAGCCUCAGAGAUUUGCUAAUAAUAUGAGAACAUUCCGCCGAUCAGGCAAAAUUGGAGAGUUUGUAAGCGUUUUUGUAAAUGAGAAACAGCAUUGCAUUCAUAUUGCCUCUGAUGGUGGCCGCGUUUGUCGUCCACUUAUAAUUGCUGACAAGGGCAGAUCAAGGGUUAAAGAGCAUCAUAUGAAAGAACUGAGGGAUGGUAUUCGUUCAUUUGAUGAUUUUCUGCGUGAUGGAUUGAUUGAAUAUCUUGACGUCAAUGAAGAGAAUAAUGCAUUGAUUGCGUUGUAUGAGCAUGUGGAUCAAGAUGGUGUUCAAAGAAGCAGCAUCACUCACAUUGAAAUAGAGCCAAUGACCAUAUUAGGUGUUGUAGCUGGACUUAUUCCAUAUCCGCACCAUAACCAAUCUCCACGUAACACUUAUCAGUGUGCAAUGGGUAAGCAAGCGAUGGGAAAUAUUGCAUAUAAUCAGUUGUUUCGAGCAGAUUCUCUACUUUAUUUACUGGUGUACGCGCAACGUCCCCUGCUUACAACAAAAACAAUUGAGUUGGUGGGAUACGAUAAACUUGGCGCUGGGCAGAAUGCAACUGUUGCUGUAAUGAGUUAUAGCGGAUAUGAUAUUGAAGAUGCAAUUGUGAUGAACAAAUCAUCUCUUGAUCGUGGUUUUGGUCGUUGCAUAGCAAUGAAAAAGUACACCGUAACAUCGGAGAAAUAUGGAGAUGGUAUAUCAGACAGGAUUGCUAAACCCCAGAGAGAUAGAGAUGGUGUCUUGAUAAAGCAGAAUAUGCGGGCAUUGGAUGAAGAUGGAUUUGUUGCACCUGGUCAAAUAAUCCGCAAUCAUGAUAUCUAUGUGAACAAGCAAACACCCAAGGUUACCAAUAGAACUCCUGGUACUGCGUUAACAGACAGGGACUAUAGGGACUCACCUGCUGUUUACAAAGGUGUCGAUGGUGAGACUACCGUUGUAGAUCGUGUAAUGCUUUGUUCGGAUACAAAUGACAAAUUGACCAUUAAGUGUAUUAUCCGUCACACUAGGAGGCCGGAGGUUGGUGACAAGUUUAGUAGCAGACAUGGACAAAAAGGUGUUUGUGGCACCAUUGUUCAGCAGGAAGACUUCCCCUUCUCUGAGAAAGGAAUAUGCCCUGAUUUAAUUAUGAAUCCCCAUGGAUUUCCAAGUCGUAUGACAAUUGGUAAAAUGAUUGAACUUCUUGGGGGAAAGGCUGGUGUUUCUUGUGGCCGAUUUCAUUAUGGCAGUAUAUUUGGUGAACCAAGUGGUAAUGCUGAUAAAGUUGAAGACAUAAGCCAUACGCUUGUCAAGCACGGGUUCAGCUAUAGUGGAAAAGAUUUCUUGUACUCAGGCAUUUUAGGCCAUCCUCUUCAGGCAUAUGUCUUCAUGGGGCCAAUCUAUUACCAGAAACUGAAGCACAUGGUUCUUGAUAAGAUGCAUGCUCGGGCUAGUGGACCACGAGUACUACUGACCAGGCAACCUACUGAAGGGCGAAGUCGUGAUGGAGGUCUGCGUCUUGGUGAGAUGGAGCGUGAUUGUUUAAUUGCAUACGGUGCCAGCAUGCUAAUCUUUGAACGUCUCCUACUAUCCAGUGAUCCAUAUCAAGUCCAGGUUUGCAGGAAAUGCGGUCUGUUAGGCUACUACAAUUACAAGCUGAAGACUUCCUUCUGCUCGAUGUGCAAAAACGGAGAAAACAUGGCCAAGAUGAGGAUGCCGUACGCUUGCAAGCUUUUGUUUCAGGAGCUGCAAUCGAUGAACGUUGUCCCACGCUUGACGCUGACAGAAGGAUAA